UUAAUUCUAUCAAACGAAAUGCUCAUUAUUUUUUCAAUUAUAAAAAAACAUUUUAAACCAAAAUUGAGUGUACUUAAAUCAAUAUUACCAUUUUAUUAUUUAACUGUAUUUUAACAAAUCCGUGCAACACACGGGUUGAAUUCCUAGUUGUGUCAUAAAAAGUCACUUCAUUUGUAUAAUCCUUGGUCAAAAAGAAUAAUCUCCCUCCUUUACCGUAAGGCGUGUGUUCAUAUGGGAAAGGGGAAUCGUUUUCCACCAUGAGAAAGUUUUUUUAAACCACUAGAUUAAAAGGGAACAUUAAUCUUACCAUAGACUGUCUGCAUUAUAUUUUUUUCUCAUUGUCUUCAACCUCACCAAUAGACCCACCACCACCACCUCCUCCAAGAGCCACCCCUAAACAAAUGAUUUCAGCCUAAAUCUUAUAUGCCUGUCACUUAACAGCACCGCUGCACUUUUUCUUGCCCACAUUUCUUGUUCUUCUUCCUUCAAUUAUGUGUUUGUUGUCUCAUCUACAAAAAAAAAAAAAAAAAAAAAAACACCAAUUAUCCCCUUCAGAAGGCUGUUUUCGGCAACCUUAAAUCUGCUGAAGGAAAACAAACAUUGGAUAUGUGAUCCAUGUCGCAAGUUCUCUCUAUUGCACCACUACUUCUUUCAUUCUGGGCACUUCGCCGGAGAGCCACCGCCGGCGAGUUUCCGGUCAUCUUCUCCAGCUUAUGUUUUAUUCAACUGAUUUUUUUAGAAAGCUUGCAAUUGGCCCUUUUCCACUCAAUCCAAACCAAACAACUAAAAAAGAAAAUAAAAACAUUACAUUUGUAUUUUUACUUAUUCAUAUAGAUAUGAUUCCACAAUUCAUUUAUCUUGUUUUUUAACUAUAAUUUUGUUUUUGUGUUAUUCUAAUUUUCUGAUUUCUGCAGUAAAUGUUGAAGGUCUUAUCUUAUCCUUGAAGAUGAUUUUAUUGUCUGGGUCGUAUGGCAGGAAUGGAAGCAGAAAGAAGCAAGUGAAUGACAUUGAGAGGUUAAUGACAAUGAAAAAAAUAUAUAGUGUAGACAACUUAUAGUAAGAUCAUUAUUUCCUUUCAAUCCAAUGAUUCAAAAAAAAUUUCCUACAGUGGGAAAGGAUUAACCUUUCCCAUGUAAAAUGCCACCUUACCAUAAUUUAAAUUUCCACUAUGAGUUUUAGGAUAGAAAGAAUAAACUAGCAAUCCAAUUGGAUAAUUUCAUUUCAUGACGCCUAGAAUAAAUCUAGCAGUUCACACAUCCACUGGUACAUAGGCUUUGGAAGGUUAAUUACAAUAUUUACCAAAAAUUUUAAUUGUCAUUUAGUUUUUUUUUUUUUUUUUAAGAAUAUAGAUAGGAUAUGCAAAAUUUUGUAGCACUCUAACU
This 1382-nucleotide long non-coding RNA is filed under the name Medicago truncatula (barrel medic). RNAcentral's name for it is "long non-coding RNA (MTRU_LNC006466)". Lineage: Eukaryota; Viridiplantae; Streptophyta; Magnoliopsida; Fabales; Fabaceae. The record is from RNAcentral.